Molecule: non-coding RNA, 74 nt
Organism: Ixodes scapularis (black-legged tick)
Lineage: Eukaryota; Metazoa; Arthropoda; Arachnida; Ixodida; Ixodidae
Source: Rfam
GCCGAGAUGGUCUAAUCGGUUAUGGCGUCGCCCCAGAUAGGCGAAGGUUGCAGGUUCGGACCCCGCUCCUGGCC